CAGUAGCCGCGGGAAUACGGAGGGGGCUAGCGUUGUUCGGAAUUACUGGGCGUAAAGCGCACGUAGGCGGCUUGGUAAGUUAGAGGUGAAAGCCUGGAGCUCAACUCCAGAAUUGCCUUUAAGACUGCCGAGCUAGCAGGUGAGAGAGGUAAGUGGAAUUCCGAGUGUAGAGGUGAAAUUCGUAGAUAUUCGGAAGAACACCAGUGGCGAAGGCGGCUUACUGGCUCAUACUGGACGCUGAGGUGCGAAAGCGUGGGGAGCAAACAGGAUUAGAUACCCCAGUAGUCCCUGUCUCUUAUAC
RNAcentral lists this ribosomal RNA (301 nucleotides) under uncultured bacterium. Its description in RNAcentral is "partial 16S ribosomal RNA". It matches the Rfam family "Bacterial small subunit ribosomal RNA", at positions 509 to 807 of the family's 1533-position model. The record is from RNAcentral.